This 253-nucleotide ribosomal RNA is filed under the name uncultured bacterium. RNAcentral describes it as "partial 16S ribosomal RNA". It matches the Rfam family "Bacterial small subunit ribosomal RNA", at positions 524 to 776 of the family's 1533-position model. The record is from RNAcentral.
GACAGAGGCCUCGAGCGUUAGGCGGAAUCACUGGGCUUAAAGCGUGUGUAGGCGGGCCCGUAAGCGCUUUGUGAAAUCCCCCGGCUCAACCGGGGAACUGCAGGGCGAACUGUGGAUCUUGAGGAAACUAGAGGCCGGUAGAACGAUUGGUGGAGCGGUGGAAUGCGUAGAUAUCAAUCGGAAUGCCAAAAGUGAAGACAGCCGGCUGGGGUUUUCCUGACGCUGAGGCACGAAAGCGUGGGGAGCAAACCGG